This 88-nucleotide transfer RNA is filed under the name Salmo salar (Atlantic salmon). It matches the Rfam family "tRNA". From Rfam's summary of the family: Transfer RNA (tRNA) molecules are approximately 80 nucleotides in length. Their secondary structure includes four short double-helical elements and three loops (D, anti-codon, and T loops). The record is from Rfam by way of RNAcentral. Lineage: Eukaryota; Metazoa; Chordata; Actinopteri; Salmoniformes; Salmonidae.
CCCUGUGGCUCAGUUGGUAGAGCAUGGUGUUUGCAAUGCCAGCAUGGUGUGUGCAACGCCAGGGUUGUGGGUUCGAUUCCCACGAGGG